RNAcentral lists this ribosomal RNA (500 nucleotides) under Streptomyces griseoruber. RNAcentral's name for it is "bacterial SSU rRNA". It matches the Rfam family "Bacterial small subunit ribosomal RNA", at positions 30 to 547 of the family's 1533-position model. Lineage: Bacteria; Bacillati; Actinomycetota; Actinomycetes; Kitasatosporales; Streptomycetaceae. The record is from RNAcentral.
CGAACGCUGGCGGCGUGCUUAACACAUGCAAGUCGAACGAUGAAGCCCUUCGGGGUGGAUUAGUGGCGAACGGGUGAGUAACACGUGGGCAAUCUGCCCUUCACUCUGGGACAAGCCCUGGAAACGGGGUCUAAUACCGGAUAUCACUCUCGCAGGCAUCUGUGAGGGUCGAAAGCUCCGGCGGUGAAGGAUGAGCCCGCGGCCUAUCAGCUUGUUGGUGAGGUAAUGGCUCACCAAGGCGACGACGGGUAGCCGGCCUGAGAGGGCGACCGGCCACACUGGGACUGAGACACGGCCCAGACUCCUACGGGAGGCAGCAGUGGGGAAUAUUGCACAAUGGGCGAAAGCCUGAUGCAGCGACGCCGCGUGAGGGAUGACGGCCUUCGGGUUGUAAACCUCUUUCAGCAGGGAAGAAGCGAAAGUGACGGUACCUGCAGAAGAAGCGCCGGCUAACUACGUGCCAGCAGCCGCGGUAAUACGUAGGGCGCAAGCGUUGUCCG